GAGGCGCAGAGGAUGAGUCACCUUGUGACCCGACCGCGCUGCGGCGCAACCUGGUGGGGGUUCCAAACCUAAACCAAAAACUUUGAUACUGAUGCGCCUC
RNAcentral lists this small nucleolar RNA (100 nucleotides) under Chlamydomonas reinhardtii. RNAcentral's name for it is "CrCD24a snoRNA". Lineage: Eukaryota; Viridiplantae; Chlorophyta; Chlorophyceae; Chlamydomonadales; Chlamydomonadaceae. The record is from RNAcentral.